GGUGUUUGGAGGUGUUGGUCAUUUCCGGUGGUUGUUGGGUGUUUGAAGGUUGUUUUGGAGGGGAAAUGGGUGAGGUUUAGGCUGUUGUUGGAGAGAGCUGCUUCAGGCGGCUGGUUGGGUGGUGGAAGUUCAUCGGAAAAUGGGUCGGAAAGGUGGAGGAGAUAGAGUUGUUUGGUGAGAAGAGAGGGGUGCGGCUGCACUUCUUUGAGAGGAGGAAAGGAACAAAAUUUAGGGUUUUCCCUUUUGAAAAUUCUUACCUCUUAAAAAAUAAUUUACCCCCCCACCUUUAACCUAAUAGACAAACUAUUCUUUAUAUAGGGAGUUGAAAACUACAAUACCAUUAUUUUAAAAUCGUGGGUCAAAAUCAUCAGUUAAUAAAAUAUCUGAGUAUGAAAUAUUAUCUGUAUUUGAAUUAAUUUUUAGAUUGUGCAAAAUAUCGAAAUGAAUAUUAAUGAAUGUAACAAAUAAAAUGAAUAUAUAUAUAUAUAGAAUAUAAUGAACGUAACUAAUGAUAUAUAAAAAUGUAAUUUUAAAAUUAACUGAUAAAAAAUCCUAAAUUUUGAUACAUAAGGAUAGUCAUCGAUAAAUUUAUUUAAAAUUUAAAAAAAAUUAUUUUGAACUAUUAAAUAAAUAAAACUUAAAAGUUACGAAUUUUGAAAAUGUUUGGUCAAAAAUUGAGUGUCAACAAUGACUAUUUCACAAGUUGGCAAUUUUCUAAUUAAAAAGAUGAACGCGUUCAAUUUUUAAAAAUAUUAAAACUGUCUAAUUGGUAGUAAGUUGUGCGACUUUAAAAGGAGGAGCUUUUGAAAAAAAAAUAUACCCUUUAUUUUUCCAGGAGUUAUCUUUUAAAGAGCUAUUAUUUCAAUUUAUUUAUAGUAAUUAAUUACCACAAUAAUGUGGUCAAACUUUUUUAUUGUCUUCAUGAUUAGUGGUGUGCGUUCUAUUAAAUAAUACAGUGAUUUCUAAUUAGAAUUGGUUGAGUCGUUAAGUAGUCAUGUGAAAGUUGUUAUGCCCACUUGCAGAGUACAAAGUUAGUUACAAUAAUUGUGAUGUAUAAAUAGCUGUAACUUGGAUCUGAUUCAUAUAUGAAAACACUUUUUUUUCUUCUUCUUACUCAAAAUGCUCUCUAUGCUGUAGUUAAUAAACCAUUAAUAUGGUUUAGCAUGGUAUCAGAGCCCAGAUCGUGAGGGAUCGAUCUGCAUAGAAGAAGAAAAGAACAAGUGAAGAAAAAACUCCUAAAAGAGGCAUCAAUGCCGACAGAUGAAGCAACAUCAAUGGCAGAAAAUGAAGUCACAUCUCUGAAUCACAAUCAUCCACUUUAUCUUCAAGCAUCUGAUGCACCUGGAGUAAUCUUAGUCCCAAUCAAGCUAAUAGGACCAGAGAAUUAUGUCUUGUGGAGUCGCUCGAUGAAAUUGGCUCUUAGAGGAAAAGGAAACAUGAAUUCGUUGAUGGAUCGUGUGGGAAGACAACUUUCAAAGGAGCACUGGAGGAACAAUGGGAAAAAUGUAAUGCAAUCGUGUUAUCGUGGAUUGCAAGUAUUGUUACAAGUGAAUUACUGCCAGGGAUUAUAUAUGUUUCAAACGCGAAAAGAGUUUGGGAAGACUUUGAGGAAAGGUUUGAUAGAUCAUAUCUAACGCGAAUUUAUUAUUUGUGGUCUAAAAUUGCAUCUCUUAAAUAGGGUACUGACUCUGUAACUUCAUACUAUUUGAAGCUCAGGAAUUUGUGGUCUGAAUUGGAUGUGAUGAUCCCAUCACCAGGUUGCAAUUGUGAGGAUUCAACAGCCUAUGUAGGACAUUUAAAAUCACAAAGACUUCUACAGUUUUUAAUGGGAUUGAAUGAGAGUUUUAGCAAUAUUAGAAGUAGCAUUUUGGCUAGGAAAUAGGUGUUUGGAGGUGUUGGUCAUUUCCAGUGGUUGUUGGGUGUUUGAAGGUUGUUUUGGAGGGGAAAUGGGUGAGGUUUAGGCUGUUGUUGGAGAGAGUUGCUUCAGGAGGCUGUUGGGUGGUGGAAGUUCACCGGAAAUGGGUCGGAAAGGUGGAGGAGAUAGAGUUGUUUGGUGAGAAGAGAGGGAUGUGGCUGCUCUUCUUUGAGAGGAGGAAAGGAACAAAAUUUAGGGUUUUACCUUUUGAAAAUUCUUACCUCCUAAAAAAUAAUUUACCCCCCACCUUUAACCUAAAAGACAAACUAUUCUUUAUAUAGGGAGUUGAAAACUACCAUACCAUUAUUUUAAAACCGUGGGUCAAAAUCAUCGGUUAAUAAAAUAUCUGUGUAUGAAAUAUUAUCUGUAUUAGAAUGAAUUUUUAGGUUGUGCAAAAUAUCAAUUUUGAAAAUGUUUGGUCAAAAUUGAGUGUCAACAAUGACUAUUUCACAAGUUGGCAAUUUUCUAAUUAAAAAGAUGAACGCGUUCAAUUUUUAAAAAUAUUAAAACUGUCUAAUUGGUAGUAAAGUUGUGCGACAUUAAAAGGAGGAGCUUUUGAAAAAAAAAAUAUUCCCUUUACUUUUCCAGGAGUUAUCUUUUAAAGAGCUAUUAUUUCAAUUUAUUUAUAGUAAUUAAUUACCACAAUAAUGUGGUCAAACUUUUUUAUUGUCUUCAUGAUUAGUGGUGUGCGUUCUAUUAAAUAAUAUAGUGGUUUAUAAUUAGAAUUGGUUGAGUCGGUUAAGUAGUCACGUGAAAGUUGUUAUGCCCACUUGUAGAGUACAAAGUUAGUUACAAUAAUUGUGAUGUAUAAAUAGCUGUAACUUGGAUCUGAUUCAUAUAUGAAAACACUUUUUUUUCUUCUUCUUACUCAAAAUGCUCUCUAUGUUGUAAUCAAUAAAUCAUUAAUAUGGUUUAGUAUGGUAUCAGAGCCCAGAUCGUGAGGGAUCGAUCUGCGUAGAAGAAGAAAAGAACAAGUAAAGAAAAAGCUCCUAAAAGAUGCAUCAAUGCCGACAGAUGAAGCAACAUCAAUGGCAGAAAAUGAAGUCGCAUCUCUGAAUCACAAUCAUCCACUUUAUCUUCAAGCAUCUGAUGCACCUUGAGUAAUCUUAGUCUCAAUCAAGCUAACAGUACCAGAGAAUUAUGCCUUGUGGAGUUGUUCGAUGAAAUUGGCUCUUAGAGGAAAAGGAAAACUUGAAUUCGUUGAUGGAUCGUGUGGGAAGACAACUUUCAAAGGAGCACUGGAGGAACAAUGGGCAAAAUGUAAUGCAAUCGUGUUAUCGUGGAUUGCGAGUACUGUUACAAGUAAAUUACUGCUAGGGAUUAUAUAUGUUUCAAACGCGAAAGAGUUUGGGAAGACUUUGAGGAAAGGUUUGAUAGAUCAUAUCUAACGCGAAUUUAUUAUUUGUGGUCUAAAAUUGCAUCUCUUAAACAGGGUACUGACUUUGUAACUUCAUACUACUUGAAGCUCAGGAAUUUGUGGUCUGAAUUGGAUGUGAUGAUCCCAUCACCAGGUUGCAAUUGUGAGGAUUCAACAGCCUAUGUGAGACAUUUAAGAUCACAAAGACUUCUACAGUUUUUAAUGGGAUUGAAUGAGAGUUUUAGCAAUAUUAGAAGUAACAUUUUGGCUAGGAAAUAGGUGUUUGGAGGUGUUGGUCAUUUCCGGUGAUUGUUGGGUAUUUGAAGGUUGUUUUGGAGGGGAAAUGGGUGAGGUUUAGGCUGUUGUUGGAGAGAGCUGCUUCAGGCGGCUGGUUGGGUGGUGGAAGCUCACCGGAAAAUGGGUCGGAAAGGUGGAGGAGAUAGAGUUGUUUGGUGAGAAGAGAGGGGUGCGGCUGCUCUUCUUUGAGAGG
This 3762-nucleotide long non-coding RNA is filed under the name Solanum tuberosum (potato). RNAcentral's name for it is "long non-coding RNA (STUB_LNC006521)". The record is from RNAcentral. Lineage: Eukaryota; Viridiplantae; Streptophyta; Magnoliopsida; Solanales; Solanaceae.